UUGAACAUGGAAGAUUUGAAUAAUUGCAAGGCACUAGUGACUUAGAAAAACUGUCAUUUUAUACUCACCUGAACCAGCUUCACUCGAUUUGGACGCCAUUCUCCCUCCGUUUGUAUCUUUCGCUUCUUCUCUUAUGUGUCCUUGUUGUUUCCUACACUCCGAACAAUCACCUUGAAUGUUUAGCCGGACAACAGGAAAAUGAAAGUAUUCCUGAACAGUAACAAUCAUCCGUUGGACCACACCUUUACAGAUAACAUCAGGUCAAGAAUGCAGGAAGACAGAAGAAUAUAUACUGAGAAACACCACACUUCCCUCGGCAAAGUUCCCUUGUAAACAGGGAGAGUCCACACACUGGUAAUGCUUGUGCCAUUCAUUACCACACCACCAUGGUUGGGCAGUUUGGUGCAUGUAUUGGUGAGUCAAUUAUUGCUCAUUUAAUGUCAGAUAGUGUAGAAAAUAUGAGUGAUAGCCAGAAUACAACAAACAGCGAAAAUGUACCCUUUGACACUACCAGACACUUUACAUGUGACACUUGUGUACAGAGUCUUGGGAGACCAGAUCACUAAGAAGAAAUGCUCUUCCUAACUCUUCGAGAACUGAUCGUCUCGUAAAGUGUCCAUGAUUAGGCUGAUCACCAGAAGCAGUUCAGCACCCUCAAUUUGAUCAAGCAUUUUUAUUCAGUUUUUAUGGGGAUGUUAGAGAGUGUGUUUUCUACCGUCAGCUUUGUGCCAUCUUUAAGCCAGCGCUUUAAGCCAGCGUGGUGCCACCUUAAGCCAGUCCCUCGGAGGAUAUUUCAUCCACCAAGCCGAUGGACUUGCAUUGCACUGAGUUUUGGUCUGCAGAGGAUUCAGUAAAUAAGUCAGUUGAUGUACAAGUGGUAACAGACCACUUCACAGGGAUGGCUCAAGUGAUCCGAUUUAGAGACAACUUGGGUCAAGUGGAAAGGGUUUUGAGGGACAAGUAUUUCUGGGUGUUUGGCUUUCCUGAGUGGAUUUAUACUGACUUGGGAGCAGGCUUUGAUUGUCACUUAAUCAGUGAGCUGCUCAGUAUUUCCAGAGUGAAAAGUGACACAUGACCACCCCCCAUGCCAUCCUAUGAGAAGUGGUAGUGCAGAACGUUUCAGUAGGACCUUAGACAACAUGGUCCAUGUCCUGGUCCCUUAAGAGAAAAGUUGACUGACUCUGACACUUACAGAUAAUAACAUUUGUGUAAAACUGUGUAACCCGAGUACCUUGUCUCUUUAUGGACAUGCUGUUCCGUUCUGUUCUCAGUGAUCAAGUUGUGACCAGCUAUGAUAAGUAUUUGGGUCUCUCAUUGAAAAAAGUUCAUCUUGAGUUGCAUCCUUAAGUGCAGUUUAUUCGGCAGUAAUUUUAUCCUGUAAUAAGAGGAUGCUUUUGAUGGAUGUAAAUAUUUUCUUUCUUUCUUUCUUUCUUUCUUUUUUGUUGACACGUUAUGCAAUGUAGCCUGAAAAAUUUGUUGCAUUCAUUAUGUGAACAUUCAAAUAUUCAGUGUUCUCAAGUCAUGUCAUGUGAUGACAGUUAUUUCUCAUUCUUUCUUGCCCAUAGCUCUGAACUUUCUAUGUUUCCUGUCCUUUGCAGAUCUUGACAAAAGAAUCAAUUGAGUUUAAUAAAUUAGUUAAUCCCGAUGAUUUCAGCCCAACCAGACAGUUCUGUUGGAUAUAUCUGGCUUUAUCUUAAUGCGUGACUGAUUUAAAACUGCAAAUUUUAUAUUUCACAGAAUGUUCAAAUCAAGCAUUACUCUAAGCUCUACCAUCAUUUAUAAACCCUACGCAAUGUAGUUAUUCAUUAAAUCAUGUAUGGAGUUUAGCUUUCAUUAGCAUUUAACUGUCUGAAAUUCCGAAAGUUACCGUCAGUACAAGUCUAAUGUCAAAUGAAGGAACCUCAUUAUGCUUAAUAACUGUAUUUCAUUUUAUUUUUGACACAUCACCCACACAUCAAUGGAUUGUUCAAUAGAUUUUUGGUUAAAUAACAAUAAUAACAAAAAACCCGCACUACAACCUCUAGUUUAAUUCAGUCGAAAAGGCAGAACUAGCAGACAUGCUUACCAUAAAACAAUGCAAUUUCCUUGAACAUUAUUUUCAAACCCUAGCAUGAAUGUGCGACUCUGCAGCUGCCCUACGCGUGAACUGCCUAAUUUAAAUACCAACGCCUAAUUUAAAACCAAU
Long non-coding RNA from Chanos chanos (milkfish), 2185 nucleotides. RefSeq lists it as uncharacterized. The record is from RefSeq and is a predicted model, not a curated record. NCBI's taxonomy places the organism in Eukaryota, Metazoa, Chordata, Actinopteri, Gonorynchiformes, Chanidae. The transcript is spliced from 3 exons.